RNAcentral lists this ribosomal RNA (263 nucleotides) under uncultured bacterium. RNAcentral describes it as "partial 16S ribosomal RNA". It matches the Rfam family "Bacterial small subunit ribosomal RNA", at positions 355 to 610 of the family's 1533-position model. The record is from RNAcentral.
UGGGGAAUAUUGCACAAUGGGCGCAAGCCUGAUGCAGCCAUGCCGCGUGUGUGAAGAAGGCCUUCGGGUUGUAAAGCACUUUCAGCGAGGAGGAAGGGUUCAGUGUUAAUAGCACUGUUCAUUGACGUUACUCGCAGAAGAAGCACCGGCUAACUCCGUGCCAGCAGCCGCGGUAAUACGGAGGGUGCAAGCGUUAAUCGGAAUUACUGGGCGUAAAGCGCACGCAGGCGGUUUGUUAAGUCAGAUGUGAAAUCCCCGCGCUU